GGGCCGCUGGUCUAGUGGUAUGAUUCUCGCUUAGGGUCACACCCUACAGCAGUGUUUGCGAGAGGUCCCGGGUUCAAUCCCCGGGUGGCCCC
This 92-nucleotide transfer RNA is filed under the name Lasiosphaeris hirsuta. RNAcentral's name for it is "tRNA-Pro". Lineage: Eukaryota; Fungi; Ascomycota; Sordariomycetes; Sordariales; Lasiosphaeriaceae. The record is from RNAcentral.